CCGCCUGUUUAUCAAAAACAUGUCUAUACGAAGAUUUAUAUAGUCUGUCCUGCCCACUGAUAAGUUAAAAGGCUGCGGUAUCUUGACCGUACAAAGGUAGCAUAAUAAUUAGAUUUUUAAAUGGAAUCUGGAAUGAAAGGAUUGACAAAAAGAAUACUGUCUUUAUUAUAAUUAUAGAAUUUAAUUUUUAAGUGAAAAGGCUUAAAUAAGUUAGGGGGACGAUAAGACCCUAUAAAGCUUUAUAAAAUUUAUAUUAUUGAGAAAUUUUGUUAAUUAAAUAGUAGAAUUUUUAUUUUGCUGGGGCGGCCUGUUAAAAUUUUUAUUAACUAAUUAUAAGUUUAAUCAUUGAUAAAUGAAUAAGUGAUCCUAGGAAAGAUUAAAAAAUUAAGUUACUUUAGGGAUAACAGCGUUAUUUUUUUUGAGAGUUCUUAUUAAAAAAAAAGAUUGCGACCUCGAUGUUGAAUUAGAGAUUACUUUAUGGAGCAGAAUUUAUAAAAGUAGGUCUGUUCGACCUUUAAAUAU
Molecule: ribosomal RNA, 522 nt
Filed under: Heikeopsis japonica
Lineage: Eukaryota; Metazoa; Arthropoda; Malacostraca; Decapoda; Dorippidae
Description: partial 16S ribosomal RNA
Rfam family: Bacterial large subunit ribosomal RNA
Source: RNAcentral